GAUAUCUGGUAAGAUCUAGGCUCCUUAGCAAGGGCUAUGGUGCCAUUGUCUUUGUAGUAUAGUGUCAUGGCAUCUGAUAGUAUGACAACUAAUUCUGCAACUAACAUUACAACUUGAAUGCAUCCUACACAUCUAUAGUGUACUCAACUUUCAUUGAUCGAUUAUUUGGAAUCCUUCCAAGAUAUCGACAUAGCAACACAUCCAUGAUGUAGAUAUUCUACCAUUAACAUCAGAUUUAAAAUCUGAAUUGGUGUAUCCUCCCACUCCUAGCUUUGAU
This 277-nucleotide long non-coding RNA is filed under the name Elaeis guineensis (African oil palm). RNAcentral's name for it is "long non-coding RNA (EGUI_LNC068798)". The record is from RNAcentral. Lineage: Eukaryota; Viridiplantae; Streptophyta; Magnoliopsida; Arecales; Arecaceae.